CGGACGGGUGAGUAACACGUGGAUAACCUACCUAUAAGACUGGGAUAACUUCGGGAAACCGGAGCUAGUACCGGAUAAUAUAUUGAACCGCAUGGUUCAAUAGUGAAAGACGGUUUUGCUGUCACUUAUAGAUGGAUCCGCGCCGCAUUAGCUAGUUGGUAAGGUAACGGCUUACCAAGGCAACGAUGCGUAGCCGACCUGAGAGGGUGAUCGGCCACACUGGAACUGAGACACGGUCCAGACUCCUACGGGAGGCAGCAGCA
Molecule: ribosomal RNA, 263 nt
Filed under: uncultured Staphylococcus sp.
Lineage: Bacteria; Bacillati; Bacillota; Bacilli; Caryophanales; Staphylococcaceae
Description: partial 16S ribosomal RNA
Rfam family: Bacterial small subunit ribosomal RNA
Source: RNAcentral